Octopus sinensis (East Asian common octopus) is the source of this 146-nucleotide long non-coding RNA. RefSeq lists it as uncharacterized. The transcript has 3 exons. Lineage: Eukaryota; Metazoa; Mollusca; Cephalopoda; Octopoda; Octopodidae. The record is from RefSeq and is a predicted model, not a curated record.
AUGAAGUGGAUUUCACAGGACUAAUUUGGAUGCCACCAGUUCAGGGUGGCACAUACAGUGACCAGAGAGUCACAGCCAUCUUUGCUUGAUCUUCUCACUAAUUUUCAGCAGGUAUCAUUUGUCAUAUCAUAUUGAACCUAUCAAUA